Non-coding RNA from Pan troglodytes (chimpanzee), 117 nucleotides. It matches the Rfam family "Metazoan signal recognition particle RNA". Rfam says of the family: The signal recognition particle (SRP) is a universally conserved ribonucleoprotein. It is involved in the co-translational targeting of proteins to membranes. The eukaryotic SRP consists of a 300-nucleotide 7S RNA and six proteins: SRPs 72, 68, 54, 19, 14, and 9. The record is from Rfam. NCBI's taxonomy places the organism in Eukaryota, Metazoa, Chordata, Mammalia, Primates, Hominidae.
GCCAGGUGUGGUGGCUCACACCUGUAAUCCCAGCACUUUGGGAGGCAGAGGUGGGAGGAUCAUUUGAGGUCAGGAGUUCAAGACCAGCCUGGCCAACAUGGUGAAACCCCGCCUCUA